GGAGGGGUCGCAUAGUGGUCUAGUGCGGCGGUCUUGAAAACCGCUAUGUCUAAAUGGCAUCGCGAGUUCGAAUCUCGCCCCCUCCGCAA
Molecule: transfer RNA, 89 nt
Filed under: Candidatus Taylorbacteria bacterium RIFCSPHIGHO2_01_FULL_43_47
Lineage: Bacteria; Candidatus Tayloriibacteriota
Also listed under: 1 other name
Description: tRNA-Ser
Rfam family: tRNA
About the family: Transfer RNA (tRNA) molecules are approximately 80 nucleotides in length.
Source: RNAcentral